AUGCAGGCGGUGGCGGGCAUCCGGCGGGGGCUGACCAUAGACCCGGCCGGGGAGGAGGAGGCGCCGGCGCAGCGGUUCGGGCGGCUGGUCAGGGAGAGCCCCGUGGUCAUCUUCGCGCGGCGCGGCUGCUACAUGGCGCACGUCAUGAAGAGCCUCCUCGCGGCCGUCGGCGCGCACGCCACAGUCAUCGAGCUGGAGGGCCCCGCCGAGGAGCUCGCGGCGGUGGAGGCCGGCGGCCACGCGGCCGUGCCGGCGCUCUUCGUCGGGGGCGCGCCGGUGGGCGGCCUGGAGGGCCUCAUGGGGCUCCACCUCAGCGGCCUCCUCGUCCCACGCCUCCGAGAGGUCGGAGCCCUCCGCGCCUAG
This 363-nucleotide ribosomal RNA is filed under the name Triticum aestivum (bread wheat). RNAcentral's name for it is "partial small subunit ribosomal RNA". Lineage: Eukaryota; Viridiplantae; Streptophyta; Magnoliopsida; Poales; Poaceae. The record is from RNAcentral.